RNAcentral lists this unclassified non-coding RNA (300 nucleotides) under uncultured fungus. RNAcentral's name for it is "sequence contains 5.8S rRNA gene, ITS2". The stretch from base 1 to 71 matches the Rfam family "5.8S ribosomal RNA", at positions 84 to 154 of the family's 154-position model. The record is from RNAcentral. Lineage: Eukaryota; Fungi.
GUGAAUCAUCGAAUCUUUGAACGCAUAUUGCGCUCGAGACUUCGGUCGAGAGCAUGCCUGUCUCAGCGUCGGCUCACCCCUCGCCCACCCUUUCCCCUUUACUGGCGGAAUCGGCAGGCGGACGUGGCCGUCUCUCUUUUCACAAAGAGGGUCGGCUGAAGUGCAGGGCUCGCGGCGCGACCCUCCUGUUCAGCAGGGCGCCAGCAUGGUAGGUGGCUUCACGCUGCAUGCCGCUGUCGUUCCGGUUGCAACGGGCAGCAAGUCGGACAUGCCGCACGGCCAGCAAGCAGGAACUUUGGG